Molecule: long non-coding RNA, 751 nt
Organism: Drosophila sechellia
Lineage: Eukaryota; Metazoa; Arthropoda; Insecta; Diptera; Drosophilidae
Exons: 3
Source: RefSeq, a predicted model, not a curated record
CUAGAGGGGAGUGGCAAAUUAAAAGCGACUUUCCAUCAAUAUGUGUUCUUAUCAAAACUGAGGAGUCGUAAAAAGAUUUAAACAACAACGUGGGCUUAUCAAAUUUCAUAUCGGUCGGUCGUUUGUCCAUUACCCCUGCGUAUGAGUUUUUGAAAACGGAGUCUCGUCCUCAGUGAAUCUUUCUUGUUGUCACGCUUGGCAUUCAUUUCAUUAGCAACCGGUUUCUGGCUACACAAACAAUUCGAUGUGAAAUAAGAUGAAUUGGGAAACCCACCCGCAUUCCAGAGAAUAAGUCGGCAAUUUCGGACAUAUGUAUAGCGGAUAUGACCUAACAUAUACAAAAGCCAUUCCAGGGCCAGCAUCGGCAAAAAAAGAACCGCAAAAAUUGCUGCACAUAUGGCAGUGGCAUCCGUGAGAUACAAAUCAGCUUUGAUCACCAUAAAAUAAUGUAAGCCAGAAUCAAGAAAGUGAAGAGGGGAAGUGGCUAAGUGUACAUAUAACCGUGGUUGUCACUUGAAGUGCUUAGCUCAAUAAACCAUGUUUUCAGCUUUUUCUCAACAAUUCCGAUUGGUGGCUGAGCGGCAAAACACUAAAAUCAACUUUCGACGCCGUAUCAUUUGGUUCUUACGCGAGGAUCUCGAAGUGCGGAAUGAGACCUCCUGCGGAGUAGUUGGUCCCAAGAAUGCCCAACACAAUUACCGCAAGAACCUACCUCGGCAUGUAAUAAAAUCCGUGCCGUCUGUGAUUUACU